This 2915-nucleotide ribosomal RNA is filed under the name Vibrio cholerae. RNAcentral describes it as "23S ribosomal RNA". It matches the Rfam family "Bacterial large subunit ribosomal RNA". The record is from RNAcentral. Lineage: Bacteria; Pseudomonadati; Pseudomonadota; Gammaproteobacteria; Vibrionales; Vibrionaceae.
GUUGUAUGGUUAAGUGACUAAGCGUACACGGUGGAUGCCUGGGCAGUCAGAGGCGAUGAAGGACGUACUAACUUGCGAUAAGCGCAGAUAAGGCAGUAAGAGCCGUUUGAGUCUGCGAUUUCCGAAUGGGGAAACCCAACUGCAUAAGCAGUUACUGUUAACUGAAUACAUAGGUUAACAGAGCAAACCGGGGGAACUGAAACAUCUAAGUACCCCGAGGAGAAGAAAUCAACCGAGAUUCCGGUAGUAGCGGCGAGCGAACCUGGAUUAGCCCUUAAGCACUCGGUGAAGUAGGUGAACAAGCUGGAAAGCUUGGCGAUACAGGGUGAUAGCCCCGUAACCGACGCUUCAUCGAGCGUGAAAUCGAGUAGGGCGGGACACGUGAUAUCCUGUCUGAAUAUGGGGGACCAUCCUCCAAGGCUAAAUACUCCUGACUGACCGAUAGUGAACCAGUACCGUGAGGGAAAGGCGAAAAGAACCCCUGUGAGGGGAGUGAAAUAGAACCUGAAACCGUGUACGUACAAGCAGUAGGAGCACCUUCGUGGUGUGACUGCGUACCUUUUGUAUAAUGGGUCAGCGACUUAUAUUCAGUGGCAAGGUUAACCGUAUAGGGGAGCCGUAGCGAAAGCGAGUCUUAACUGGGCGCUCAGUCUCUGGAUAUAGACCCGAAACCGGGUGAUCUAGCCAUGGGCAGGUUGAAGGUUGAGUAACAUCAACUGGAGGACCGAACCGACUAAUGUUGAAAAAUUAGCGGAUGACUUGUGGCUAGGGGUGAAAGGCCAAUCAAACUCGGAGAUAGCUGGUUCUCCCCGAAAGCUAUUUAGGUAGCGCCUCGGACGAAUACUACUGGGGGUAGAGCACUGUUAAGGCUAGGGGGUCAUCCCGACUUACCAACCCUUUGCAAACUCCGAAUACCAGUAAGUACUAUCCGGGAGACACACGGCGGGUGCUAACGUCCGUCGUGGAGAGGGAAACAACCCAGACCGCCAGCUAAGGUCCCAAAGUAUUGCUAAGUGGGAAACGAUGUGGGAAGGCUCAGACAGCUAGGAUGUUGGCUUAGAAGCAGCCAUCAUUUAAAGAAAGCGUAAUAGCUCACUAGUCGAGUCGGCCUGCGCGGAAGAUGUAACGGGGCUAAGCAAUACACCGAAGCUGCGGCAAUGUCUUUUAGAUAUUGGGUAGGGGAGCGUUCUGUAAGCCGUUGAAGGUGAAUCGUAAGGUUUGCUGGAGGUAUCAGAAGUGCGAAUGCUGACAUGAGUAACGACAAAGGGGGUGAAAAACCUCCUCGCCGGAAGACCAAGGGUUCCUGUCCAACGUUAAUCGGGGCAGGGUGAGUCGACCCCUAAGGUGAGGCCGAAAGGCGUAAUCGAUGGGAAACGGGUUAAUAUUCCCGUACUUCUGACUAUUGCGAUGGGGGGACGGAGAAGGCUAGGUGGGCCAGGCGACGGUUGUCCUGGUUCAAGUGCGUAGGCUUGAGAGUUAGGUAAAUCCGGCUCUCUCUAAGGCUGAGACACGACGUCGAGCUACUACGGUAGUGAAGUCAUUGAUGCCAUGCUUCCAGGAAAAGCCUCUAAGCUUCAGAUAGUCAGGAAUCGUACCCCAAACCGACACAGGUGGUCGGGUAGAGAAUACCAAGGCGCUUGAGAGAACUCGGGUGAAGGAACUAGGCAAAAUGGUACCGUAACUUCGGGAGAAGGUACGCUCUUGAUGGUGAAGUCCCUCGCGGAUGGAGCUGACGAGAGUCGCAGAUACCAGGUGGCUGCAACUGUUUAUUAAAAACACAGCACUGUGCAAAAUCGCAAGAUGACGUAUACGGUGUGACGCCUGCCCGGUGCCGGAAGGUUAAUUGAUGGGGUUAGCGCAAGCGAAGCUCUUGAUCGAAGCCCCGGUAAACGGCGGCCGUAACUAUAACGGUCCUAAGGUAGCGAAAUUCCUUGUCGGGUAAGUUCCGACCUGCACGAAUGGCGUAAUGAUGGCCACGCUGUCUCCACCCGAGACUCAGUGAAAUUGAAAUCGCUGUGAAGAUGCAGUGUACCCGCGGCUAGACGGAAAGACCCCGUGAACCUUUACUACAGCUUGGCACUGAACAUUGAACCUACAUGUGUAGGAUAGGUGGGAGGCUAUGAAGACGUGACGCCAGUUGCGUUGGAGCCGUCCUUGAAAUACCACCCUUGUAUGUUUGAUGUUCUAACUUAGACCCAUUAUCUGGGUUGAGGACAGUGCCUGGUGGGUAGUUUGACUGGGGCGGUCUCCUCCCAAAGAGUAACGGAGGAGCACGAAGGUGGGCUAAUCACGGUUGGACAUCGUGAGGUUAGUGCAAUGGCAUAAGCCCGCUUAACUGCGAGAAUGACGGUUCGAGCAGGUGCGAAAGCAGGUCAUAGUGAUCCGGUGGUUCUGUAUGGAAGGGCCAUCGCUCAACGGAUAAAAGGUACUCCGGGGAUAACAGGCUGAUACCGCCCAAGAGUUCAUAUCGACGGCGGUGUUUGGCACCUCGAUGUCGGCUCAUCACAUCCUGGGGCUGAAGUCGGUCCCAAGGGUAUGGCUGUUCGCCAUUUAAAGUGGUACGCGAGCUGGGUUUAGAACGUCGUGAGACAGUUCGGUCCCUAUCUGCCGUGGGCGUUGGAAGAUUGAAGGGGGCUGCUCCUAGUACGAGAGGACCGGAGUGGACGAACCUCUGGUGUUCGGGUUGUGUCGCCAGACGCAUUGCCCGGUAGCUAAGUUCGGAAUUGAUAAGCGCUGAAAGCAUCUAAGCGCGAAGCGAGCCCUGAGAUGAGUCUUCCCUGAUACUUUAAGUAUCCUAAAGGGUUGUUCGAGACUAGAACGUUGAUAGGCAGGGUGUGUAAGCGUUGUGAGGCGUUGAGCUAACCUGUACUAAUUGCCCGUGAGGCUUAACCAUACAACACCCAAGGGGUUUUGUA